This 339-nucleotide ribosomal RNA is filed under the name Triticum aestivum (bread wheat). Its description in RNAcentral is "partial small subunit ribosomal RNA". The record is from RNAcentral. Lineage: Eukaryota; Viridiplantae; Streptophyta; Magnoliopsida; Poales; Poaceae.
AUGAACAAGAAAGAAAUCUGCCUGGUUUCCAAACCAAAACCUAGAACAGGCAGAGAAAAUCAACAACAGCCACGGCAAAAAGAGAUGGCGUUGGUGGUAGAUCUAGACACAACGAGCAAGGAGGUGUGGAAAAAGAACCUCGCCUGGCCGAUUACUACAGCUAAAAGAGAAGAAAAAAGAACAGAUCUGGAGCCCCGGGAUCUAAAACGUCCUGGAGAACUCGCUGCCUGCCGCGUGAACAAGGAGACGAACAGGGGAGGGAGGAAGAGGGCUUGGGAUUCAAAGAACCUUACCUUGGCGACGCAAGAACUCGCUCGGAUCUAUGCUUACCUCGCUUGA